RNAcentral lists this small RNA (125 nucleotides) under Pantoea alhagi. Its description in RNAcentral is "RtT sRNA". It matches the Rfam family "RtT RNA". From Rfam's summary of the family: This family represents a bacterial cis-regulatory element known as RtT RNA. RNAcentral also lists the same sequence under 1 other name. The record is from RNAcentral. Lineage: Bacteria; Pseudomonadati; Pseudomonadota; Gammaproteobacteria; Enterobacterales; Erwiniaceae.
AUCUUCCCCAUCGGGAGAAGGUGAGAAGCUUCGACAAGGUUCGAGUCGAGCAGCGCGAGACAACGUGCGCAGCACGGCCCGCAGGGUGAGGAGCGCAGCGACGAGUCAUCCUUCUCCCACCACCA